UGAGGAAUAUUGGUCAAUGGGCGCAAGCCUGAACCAGCCAUCCCGCGUGCAGGAUGACGGCCCUACGGGUUGUAAACUGCUUUUAUACAGGAAGAAAAAUCCCGAUGUAUCGGGACUUGCCGGUACCGUAUGAAUAAGCAUCGGCUAACUCCGUGCCAGCAGCCGCGGUAAUACGGAGGAUGCAAGCGUUAUCCGGAUUCAUUGGGUUUAAAGGGUGCGUAGGCGGCUUUUUAAGUCAGUGGUGAAAUCCUGCCGCUUAACGGUAGAAUUGCCAUUGAUACUGAGGAGCUUGAGUUCAGUUGAGGUAAGCGGAAUGUGUAGUGUAGCGGUGAAAUGCUUAGAUAUUACACAGAACACCGAUUGCGAAGGCAGCUUACUAAACUGACACUGACGCUGAUGCACGAAAGCGUGGGGAUCGAACAGGAUUAGAUACCCUGGUAGUCCACGCCGUAAACGAUGAUCACUCGCUGUAUGCGAUAUACCGUAUGCGGCCAAGCGAAAGCAUUAAGUGAUCCACCUGGGGAGUACGAUCGC
This 534-nucleotide ribosomal RNA is filed under the name uncultured bacterium. RNAcentral's name for it is "partial 16S ribosomal RNA". It matches the Rfam family "Bacterial small subunit ribosomal RNA", at positions 355 to 889 of the family's 1533-position model. The record is from RNAcentral.